Molecule: long non-coding RNA, 1644 nt
Organism: Gopherus evgoodei (Goodes thornscrub tortoise)
Lineage: Eukaryota; Metazoa; Chordata; Testudines; Testudinidae
Exons: 3
Source: RefSeq, a predicted model, not a curated record
UCUGGCAGGGAAACGCGCCUCCUCGGUACAGCCCCGCCAGCUGCGGGAGGGGGAGAAGGAGCGCGCGCCCGCCCGCCCGCCUCCUGCUCACGGACCCUUGCCUCAUUGAGUGUACAAGAUGGAAAAAUGGAACUAUAACUCCUGCAGAAAUUCCUUGAUACGGCUCCUGAACAAGCUCUUUCUUCAUCUCUGCAACGGCUGAGGUCUUUUCUACCCAUUCAGAAUUGUAUCCACUAAAAUGAACUUAAUAUUUUACUGUUGUGUGUAAUAUGGAUCUGUAGGGGUUGAUUUGUAAUAGUUACUUUGUGUCAGGGACUCUAUGGGUCUGGUCAAAAGACCACUGAAGUUAACUGAAUCAGGUCCUAUAUGUAUUACUUGAAAGAGGAAUAAGAAAAAUAUGCCAAGUGUUUAUGCAUAACAUCAAAAGGUCACAUUUAGGAGAAAUUCAUUAUCUUAUUAAAUACAGAUUAGUAUUCAAAUAAACAAUGGAACAGGGAAAGAAGGAAUAUCAGAAUUAGGGAUGUAAAAUUUAACCGAUUAACCACUAAACUUGAUGCUUAUCAGUUUCAGUUCUGCUGCAGCCCCACAUGCCCGAGGUCCCAGCUGCCACUCCAUGCACCUGGAGAUCUGGCUGCCGCCACACACACCCCUGUGCCCAGGGUCCUGGCUGCCUGCCCCGCCAGAGGACCUUCUCUGUCAUCCCCGUUACCAGGGUCUCAGCUGCCAGCCCCGCACCAGGGGUAUUGGCUGCCAGCCCCACAGCCGGAAUCCCGGCUGCCAGCCCUGCUGCCGGGACUCUGCUUCCAUGCCCGCGCCCAGGGACACCAGCAGCAGUGGGGAUUCCUGUGCCUGAGGAUCGCCUGCAUGGGGUGGUAGCGGCGAUCCCCAGCGUGAGGCCAGCAGUGGAGUCCCAGCUGUGGGGUUGACAGCCGGGACCCUGGCAGCUGGGCUGGCAGCCAAGACACCGGCGGCAGCCGGGAUCCUCAGCAGGGGGGCGGCAUUGGAGAUCCCCAGCGUGGAGCAGCAGCAGAAUCAUGCGUAAAACAUGGGGGUGCUGCAAUGCUAGUUAACAGCUUGUUACAGCUAAGAGAAAUUCUGUCUCUCAGAAUGAUCAGUUAACAAGGGAUAGCACACCUUUUGCAGGGGUUAGUUUAGUUAUAUUUAUCAUCUAUUUAACUUUUGUUUGUGGUUUUCACUUGUUUUCUAUACCAUGUCAAAUCAAUUUUGGCUUAAUUUAACCACAAAUAGAUGUGGUGACUUCACUUACUAUACUACAGACUUAAGUCAACUUAUGUUAGGUCUACUUACAGGCAUGGCAGUAAUUACUGCGCCCUAUCCAUCUUCUGUCGGCGGUGUGCAUCCUCACCAGGAGCGCUUCUGCCAACUGAAGCGGGGCAGUAUGGGGGGCUGAGAGUCAGGACUCUGAGCACUGCACACCUCCACAUUGGGAGCCCAGCUGUCCCUUCUCCUCUCCCCCAGGCUCUUGGCUCCCUGCUCCCAGCCAGGAGUGGGGGGCAGCACCCGUGCUUCUCUGCUCCCUGAGCAGGGAGCCUCCAGGUAGCAGUAUGGAACCAUGAAAUUGACAAGAUAGCCAACAGCCAAUGUAAGUAAUGCAGUGUCUACACAGACACUGCGUCACCCUAA